Heterocephalus glaber (naked mole-rat) is the source of this 1409-nucleotide long non-coding RNA. RefSeq lists it as uncharacterized. NCBI's taxonomy places the organism in Eukaryota, Metazoa, Chordata, Mammalia, Rodentia, Bathyergidae. The record is from RefSeq and is a predicted model, not a curated record.
UUCUUGUUCAGAGCUUCUGUGGUUAUGGAGUCAGCCACUAUUACUUGCGUAUUGGAGCAGACUCAGCAGGCGGAGGACUAGGAAGAUUUUAUAGCAGCAGGAAGAGCACUCUUGUAGUGUUCCCUAACUGGAGGCUGUUGGCAUGAAGAGGCUGUGGCCAGUGCUCCAGGAUCCAGUCCCAUAUGGAGAAAAGAUCUAGAGACAGACUUCAGUAUGGAGAGAGGGCUCCUGCAGAAUGCCCUGAACAUCCUCUGCUUGGAAUGAUAAGGAGAAAUGGAUUUGCUGUGGGUAUGACUCAGUUGCUUUUCUGCUUUCUGUCUGAAAGGAAUGUCAGCAAGGAAUAAGCAGAGCAGAGGGAAGUUUCCAGGAGCUCCAGUUAAAAAAUUCAAGACACAUUCCUUCUCUGGCCUCCAUCCUCCGCUGCUGCCAUUGCCGCCGCCGCCGCCGCCGCCGCUGUUCUCUCGUUGCUCCUUGAUGGCCUGGUCACGAGAAAAAUCUGCAGGGCCUCUGGGACCUUCACAGCGUCUGCUUAGCAAUCACUCCUGAGCUUUCCAGUAAUUGACUGGCAACAGGAGGGAGAACAGAAACUGGGAAACUGGCAGUUUCUCCGAUUCCUCCUUCCCCUCCUGCCUCUCUCUGCGUUUAUCUCUGUCCACCUUCUCUGUGUUCGCCCCCUGGCCACCCCCUCCUCCUGCUCUAUUUGCCUUUCAAGUAAUAAUCCAUUUCUCUCCAGUUUCCUGAAUGUGAUAAUCUCUGUCAGACUCAAGAGACAAUCAAGUUAAUGAAAUUCCUGUCAAUAAAAAGAGGACAUUUAUUAAAUGGAAAUUAUGUUUAAAGAUGGCAGAGAACAUCACUUAAGGCUAAGGCUGAGAAGAAUUAAGAAAUUAUUCUGGGGAAUGUUUUGUUUGGGAGGAUUUGUAUGAAGCAGCAGGCAGAGACUCUGCUUGGUGGAGCAGGGGGAAGUUUAGGCUGGAUACUGCUUAUGCUACAGGUCGGGGUAAGGGUGUGACCUUAGAAAGAUGACUUAAUCUCUCUCUACCUCCAUUUCUUCAUACACAAAGUGGGAAUAUUUAUAAUACCUUAUAAAGUUGCCAUAUAACUGGAAUGAUUUACAUUACAUACUCAACACAAUGGCCAGCAUACAGCAAGCAUAUUCAAAACGUUUGCUUGUGCCAUUGGCCUAAAACGAGGUCAGUGCAAAUAUAAUUAAUGUCAUUUCACAAAUUAUAAGAUUAAUGAGGCUCCUUUCAGAAAGGGAAACAAAAUGAGAAUUCAGUUCUUGUUUAGAUUAUACGUUCAAAAGAAAAAUGAGAGUAAUGUAGAAGCCACAGAUUAGAAUGUAAAUGCUUUAAUGAUUUCACUUAAUAGUUGAAAGGCUUGAAAUAAAAUAAAGUUGUUGUUGAUGAUGA